Molecule: long non-coding RNA, 82 nt
Organism: Neodiprion virginianus
Lineage: Eukaryota; Metazoa; Arthropoda; Insecta; Hymenoptera; Diprionidae
Exons: 3
Source: RefSeq, a predicted model, not a curated record
AAGUCGUUCAGAAGUUACACGAUCACUAACAGAUGCACCAAAGAAUCAUAUAUAUAUAUAUAUAUAUAUUUCAUAUGUGCAU